CUCGCGUCUGAUUAGCUAGUAGGUGUGGUAAGAGCGCACCUAGGCGACGAUCAGUAGCUGGUCUGAGAGGAUGAGCAGCCACACUGGGACUGAAACACGGCCCAAACUCCUACGGGAGGCAGCAGUGGGGAAUUUUCCGCAAUGGGCGAAAGCCUGACGGAGCAAGACCGCGUGGGGGAGGAAGGCCUUUGGGUUGUAAACCCCUUUUGUUAGGGAAGA
This 219-nucleotide ribosomal RNA is filed under the name Oscillatoria tenuis AUS-JR/MT/NT-106. RNAcentral describes it as "partial 16S ribosomal RNA". It matches the Rfam family "Bacterial small subunit ribosomal RNA", at positions 230 to 448 of the family's 1533-position model. The record is from RNAcentral. Lineage: Bacteria; Bacillati; Cyanobacteriota; Cyanophyceae; Oscillatoriales; Oscillatoriaceae.